This 643-nucleotide ribosomal RNA is filed under the name Malassezia restricta. RNAcentral's name for it is "eukaryotic LSU rRNA". It matches the Rfam family "Eukaryotic large subunit ribosomal RNA", at positions 37 to 667 of the family's 3401-position model. Lineage: Eukaryota; Fungi; Basidiomycota; Malasseziomycetes; Malasseziales; Malasseziaceae. The record is from RNAcentral.
CGCAUAUCAAUAAGCGGAGGAAAAGAAACUANCAAGGAUUCCCNUAGUAACGGCGAGCGAAGCGGGAAGAGCUCAAAUUUGAAAGCUGGCGUCUUCGGCGUCCGCGUUGUAAUCUCGAGACGUGUUUUCCGUGCGGCUCUAUGGACAAGUCCCUUGGAACAGGGCAUCGUAGAGGGUGAAAAUCCCGUACUUGCCAUGGAAGUACCGUGCUUUGUGAUACACGCUCCAAGAGUCGAGUAGUUUGGGAUUGCUGCUCAAAGUGGGUGGUAGACUCCAUCUAAAGCUAAAUAUCGGGGAGAGACCGAUAGCGAACAAGUACCGUGAGGGAAAGAUGAAAAGCACUUUGGAAAGAGAGUUAAAAGUACGUGAAAUUGUCGAAAGGGAAGCACUUGAAGUCAGCCAUGCUGCUUGAGACUCAGCCUGGCUUUUGCUUGGUGUAUUUCUCGGUAGCAAGCCAGCAUUGGUUUGUGUCGUCGGAGAAGCGUAUGGGGAAUGUGGCAUCCUCGGAUGUGUUAUAGCCCUGUGCAGGAUACGACGACGUAGACCAAGGAACGCAGUGUGCCCUCUGGGCGGGUCUUCGGACACCUUCACACUUAGGAUGCUGGCGUAAUGGCUUUAAGUGGCCCGUCUUGAAACACGGACC